ACGUAGGACGCGAGCGUUAUCCGGAGUUACUGGGCGUAAAGGGCAGGUAGGCGGCUAAUCAAGUUGGUUGUGAAAUCUCCCGGCUCAACUGGGAGGGGGCAAUCGAAACUGAAUAGCUAGAGGACAGCAGAGGGUGGUGGAAUUCCGGGUGGAGUGGUGAAAUGCGUAGAGAUCCGGAGGAACACCAGAGGCGAAAGCGGCGACCUGGACUGUAACUGACGCUCAACUGCGAAAGCCAGGGAAGCGAACGG
This 251-nucleotide ribosomal RNA is filed under the name uncultured prokaryote. RNAcentral describes it as "partial 16S rRNA". It matches the Rfam family "Bacterial small subunit ribosomal RNA", at positions 525 to 775 of the family's 1533-position model. The record is from RNAcentral.